Molecule: ribosomal RNA, 741 nt
Filed under: uncultured bacterium
Lineage: Bacteria
Description: bacterial SSU rRNA
Rfam family: Bacterial small subunit ribosomal RNA
Source: RNAcentral
CCCGCAAGGGAGCAAGUAGAAGUGGCGCACGGGUGAGUAACACGUAGGUAAUCUACCUUUGGAUUGGGAAUAACAACCGGAAACGGUUGCUAAUACCGAAUAAUGCAGCGGCACCUAAUGGUGACAGUUGUUAAAGCGGGGGAUCGCAAGACCUCGCGUCUAAAGAGGAGCCUGCGGCGGAUUAGCUAGUUGGUAAGGUAACGGCUUACCAAGGCGAUGAUCCGUAGCCGGCCUGAGAGGGCGGUCGGCCACACUGACACUGACAUACGGGUCAGACUCCUACGGGAGGCAGCAGUCGGGAAUUUUGGGCAAUGGGCGAAAGCCUGACCCAGCAACGCCGCGUGAAGGAUGAAAUCCUUCGGGAUGUAAACUUCGCAAGAACGGGAAGAAUAAGUGGAAGUUAAUAUCUUUCACGAUGACGGUACCGUUUGUAAGCUCCGGCUAACUCCGUGCCAGCAGCCGCGGUAAUACGGGGGGAGCAAGCGUUGUUCGGAUUUACUGGGCGUAAAGGGCGCGUAGGCGGCCACCGCGAGUCGACUGUGAAAUCUCCGGGCUUAACCCGGAAAGGUCAGCCGAUACUGCGGGGCUAGAGUGCAGAAGGGGCAACUGGAAUUCUCGGUGUAGCGGUGAAAUGCGUAGAUAUCGAGAGGAACACUGCGGCGAAGGGCGGGUUGCUGGGCUGACACUGACGCUGAGGCGCGAAAGCUAGGGGAGCGAACGGGAUUAGAUACCCCGGUAGUC